Molecule: long non-coding RNA, 277 nt
Organism: Malaclemys terrapin pileata
Lineage: Eukaryota; Metazoa; Chordata; Testudines; Emydidae
Exons: 3
Source: RefSeq, a predicted model, not a curated record
GCUGAAUAUCACAGAGAGCAAAGGAGCCUGAGAUGAUACAAAGGCUCAGGAAAAACUCUCCAAAAACAGAGGGACAGUUCACACCUCAUCAGGGCAUGUAUGGGACAAACCCAGCCCAGCCUUACAGGAACAAAGGACGCUGGCCUAGGCAACAACAAAGGAUCUGUUGGACUCUCGAACAUCACCACGAGCGACUGAAGCGCUGAUCAAAGGGAAGAGCCUGGCUGAAGGGCAACCAGCCAGCCUGUGGUGAGAAGCAUCUGAGUUUGUAAGGGCA